Molecule: ribosomal RNA, 33 nt
Filed under: Schistidium antarctici
Lineage: Eukaryota; Viridiplantae; Streptophyta; Bryopsida; Grimmiales; Grimmiaceae
Description: partial 18S ribosomal RNA
Source: RNAcentral
CUUCCGUAGGUGAACCUGCGGCAAGGAUCAUUG